UAGGGUGCUUCUGAUUUGCAAACCACUG
Molecule: non-coding RNA, 28 nt
Filed under: Mus musculus (house mouse)
Lineage: Eukaryota; Metazoa; Chordata; Mammalia; Rodentia; Muridae
Also listed under: 1 other name
Source: RNAcentral